GAUGAACGCUGGCGGCGUGCUUAACACAUGCAAGUCGAACGGGAUCCAAGGGGUGCUUGCACUUUUUGGUGAGAGUGGCGAACGGGUGAGUAACACGUGAGUAACCUGUCCUUUUCUUUGGGAUAAGCAUUCGAAAGGGUGUUUAAUACCUUAUGUUCUGUCUGCCUCGCAUGGGGUGGGUGGGAAAGGCUUUGGCCGGAUUUGGGUGGGCUCGCGGUCUAUCAGCUUGUUGGUGGGGUGAUGGCUUACCAAGGCUUUGACGGGUAGCCGGCCUGAGAGGGUGGGCGGUCACAUUGGGACUGAGAUACGGCCCAGACUCCUGCGGGAGGCAGCAGUGGGGGAUAUUGCACAAUGGGCGAAAGCCUGAUGCAGCGACGCCGCGUGGGGGAUGAAGGCCUUCGGGUUGUAAACUUCUUUUGCUCUGAACAAGGCAUGCCAGUGGGUGUGUUGAGUGUAGGGGUUGAUUAGCGCCGGCUAACUACGUG
This 485-nucleotide ribosomal RNA is filed under the name uncultured bacterium. Its description in RNAcentral is "partial 16S ribosomal RNA". It matches the Rfam family "Bacterial small subunit ribosomal RNA", at positions 28 to 507 of the family's 1533-position model. The record is from RNAcentral.